RNAcentral lists this long non-coding RNA (613 nucleotides) under Apteryx owenii (little spotted kiwi). RNAcentral's name for it is "lncRNA (ENSAOWG00000011077.1)". The record is from RNAcentral. Lineage: Eukaryota; Metazoa; Chordata; Aves; Apterygiformes; Apterygidae.
AUUCAACCCCUACUUCACCAAACUCUGAGUACUUUGUUCUUUGGGUUUGGUUUAUACCCCUCUUUGUUCAAUGAAGCACUGUGUAUACUAAUCUCUAAAGCUAUCAGUUCAUCUGAUACACUCUCUGAAAUGGAUGAGGCAGUGAACAUGGUGUCAGAUACUGUUUUCCGGGGGACGGAUCCCAGCUCCGCAUCUGAGAUUUACAUGGAUUCAUAUUCAUUACAUUAGCAGUAGCCACAUUCAGUGGUGAUUCCCAAAGGAGCAAGAAAAUGAUGGCCUAGAAGAAAGCUGCCACAUUUCAAACUCUCCAGCUGUGCCUUGCCACCAUCGCUACAUUCCACUGCCAAAUGCAGUAAUUUAUGAAUUUGUCUUUUUUAUCUACAAAAAAUGUUAAUUUAUAGAAUGAAGAGAAGAAUAGGAAAGACUAAUGUGGUGGGGAAAAGAAUGUCUGCAUUUUCUCUUAACUGCUUUAUAACUAUUUCUCUCAUGCUAUAAAUGUUAUUUGUGUUUACAGGAUCAUUAUUAUUCUGCAUUAGAUGCUUUAAAACAGAGCUGGGGUGCCAGCAGAUAGUGUAUCCCAGCUUAUAACAUAGUCAUUUUAAAGAGACAGUAG